GAGAGGAGCUUGCGUCCUUGAUUCAGCGGCGGACGGGUGAGUAAUGCCUAGGAAUCUGCCUGGUAGUGGGGGAUAACGUUCCGAAAGGAACGCUAAUACCGCAUACGUCCUACGGGAGAAAGCGGGGGAUCUUCGGACCUCGCGCUAUCAGAUGAGCCUAGGUCGGAUUAGCUAGUUGGUGAGGUAAAGGCUCACCAAGGCGACGAUCCGUAACUGGUCUGAGAGGAUGAUCAGUCACACUGGAACUGAGACACGGUCCAGACUCCUACGGGAGGCAGCAGUGGGGAAUAUUGGACAAUGGGCGAAAGCCUGAUCCAGCCAUGCCGCGUGUGUGAAGAAGGUCUUCGGAUUGUAAAGCACUUUAAGUUGGGAGGAAGGGUAUUCACCUAAUACGUGAGUAUUUUGACGUUACCGACAGAAUAAGCACCGGCUAACUUCGUGCCAGCAGCCGCGGUAAUACGAAGGGUGCAAGCGUUAAUCGGAAUUACUGGGCGUAAAGCGCGCGUAGGUGGUUCGUUAAGUUGGAUGUGAAAGCCCCGGGCUCAACCUGGGAACUGCAUCCAAAACUGGCGAGCUAGAGUACGGUAGAGGGUGGUGGAAUUUCCUGUGUAGCGGUGAAAUGCGUAGAUAUAGGAAGGAACACCAGUGGCGAAGGCGACCACCUGGACUGAUACUGACACUGAGGUGCGAAAGCGUGGGGAGCAAACAGGAUUAGAUACCCUGGUAGUCCACGCCGUAACGAUGUCAACUAGCCGUUGGAAUCCUUGAGAUUUUAGUGGCGCAGCUAACGCAUUAAGUUGACCGCCUGGGGA
RNAcentral lists this ribosomal RNA (812 nucleotides) under Pseudomonas sp. RNAcentral describes it as "bacterial SSU rRNA". It matches the Rfam family "Bacterial small subunit ribosomal RNA", at positions 70 to 879 of the family's 1533-position model. Lineage: Bacteria; Pseudomonadati; Pseudomonadota; Gammaproteobacteria; Pseudomonadales; Pseudomonadaceae. The record is from RNAcentral.